AAGGGCUUAUGACCAGACCUUUGCCUUGAGGAUCAUCCGGUGUUCUCACCGGUGCACUUCUCUUGGUUCAGGCCAGCAUCGAUUUUGGUAGGGGGAUAAAGACUUGAGGAAUGUGGCUCUUCGGAGUGUUAUAGCCUCUUGUGUAAUACCCUUACCGGGAUCGAGGACCGCGCUUCGGCUAGGAUGCUGGCAUAAUGGUCAUCAGC
RNAcentral lists this ribosomal RNA (206 nucleotides) under Microdochiaceae sp. RNAcentral's name for it is "partial large subunit ribosomal RNA". The record is from RNAcentral. Lineage: Eukaryota; Fungi; Ascomycota; Sordariomycetes; Xylariales; Microdochiaceae.